GAUGAAGAACGUAGCGAAAUGCAAUAAGUAAUGUGAAUUGCAGAAUUCAGUGAAUCAUCGAAUCUUUGAACGCACAUUGCGCCCGCCAGCAUUCUGGCGGGCAUGCCUGUUCGAGCGUCAUUUCAACCCUCGAGCCCCCCCCGGGGGCCUCGGUGUUGGGGGACGGCACACCAGCCGCCCCCGAAAUGCAGUGGCGACCCCGCCGCAGCCUCCCCUGCGUAGUAGCACACACCUCGCACCGGAGCGCGGAGGCGGUCACGCCGUAAAACGCCCAACUUUCUUAGAGUUGACCUCGGAUCAGGUAGGAAUACCCGCUGAACUUAAGCAUAUCAAUAAGCGGAGGA
Molecule: unclassified non-coding RNA, 344 nt
Filed under: soil metagenome
Description: partial contains 5.8S ribosomal RNA, internal transcribed spacer 2, and large subunit ribosomal RNA
Rfam family: 5.8S ribosomal RNA (bases 1-120)
Source: RNAcentral